UACGAGGGGUGCAAGCGUUAUUCGGAAUCAUUGGGCGUAAAGAGCUCGUAGGCGGUUCAGCAAGUCGGCUGUGAAAGCCCGAGGCUCAACCUCGGAAUUGCAGUCGAUACUGCUGUGACUCGAGUCCGGGAGAGGAGAAUGGAAUUCCCGGUGUAGCGGUGAAAUGCGCAGAUAUCGGGAGGAACACCAGUAGCGAAGGCGGUUCUCUGGGCCGGCACUGACGCUGAGGAGCGAAAGCGUGGGCAGCAAACAGG
RNAcentral lists this unclassified non-coding RNA (254 nucleotides) under uncultured Acidimicrobiia bacterium. RNAcentral describes it as "contains 16S-23S intergenic spacer region". It matches the Rfam family "Bacterial small subunit ribosomal RNA", at positions 524 to 776 of the family's 1533-position model. The record is from RNAcentral. Lineage: Bacteria; Bacillati; Actinomycetota; Acidimicrobiia.